UGGGGAAUAUUGGACAAUGGGCGAAAGCCUGAUCCAGCCAUGCCGCGUGUGUGAAGAAGGUCUUCGGAUUGUAAAGCACUUUAAGUUGGGAGGAAGGGCAUUAACCUAAUACGUUAGUGUUUUGACGUUACCGACAGAAUAAGCACCGGCUAACUCUGUGCCAGCAGCCGCGGUAAUACAGAGGGUGCAAGCGUUAAUCGAAAUUACUGGGCGUAAAGCGCGCGUAGGUGGUUUGUUAAGUUGGAUGUGAAAUCCCCGGGCUCAACCUGGGAACUGCAUUCAAAACUGACUGACUAGAGUAUGGUAGAGGGUGGUGGAAUUUCCUGUGUAGCGGUGAAAUGCGUAGAUAUAGGAAGGAACACCAGUGGCGAAGGCGACCACCUGGACUAAUACUGACACUGAGGUGCGAAAGCGUGGGGAGCAAACA
This 427-nucleotide ribosomal RNA is filed under the name uncultured bacterium. Its description in RNAcentral is "partial 16S ribosomal RNA". It matches the Rfam family "Bacterial small subunit ribosomal RNA", at positions 355 to 774 of the family's 1533-position model. The record is from RNAcentral.